Molecule: ribosomal RNA, 247 nt
Filed under: uncultured Levilinea sp.
Lineage: Bacteria; Bacillati; Chloroflexota; Anaerolineae; Anaerolineales; Anaerolineaceae
Description: partial 16S ribosomal RNA
Rfam family: Bacterial small subunit ribosomal RNA
Source: RNAcentral
ACACGGAACUGACCGGUCAUAAACCGGAGGAAGGUGGGGAUGGACGUCGAAGUCAGCAUGGCCUUUAUAUCCUGGGCUACACACACGCUACAAUGGGAAGGGACAAUAGGUUGCGAAGCCGCGAGGCGGAGCCAAUCCAGCAAAACUUCCCUCAGUUCAGAUUGCAGGCUGCAACUCGCCUGCAUGAAGUUGGAGUUGCUAGUAAACGCAGGUCAGCCAUACUGCGUUGAAUACGUUCCCGGGGCUU